This is a long non-coding RNA of Nerophis ophidion (straightnose pipefish), 1889 nucleotides long. RefSeq lists it as uncharacterized. The record is from RefSeq and is a predicted model, not a curated record. The transcript is spliced from 3 exons. Lineage: Eukaryota; Metazoa; Chordata; Actinopteri; Syngnathiformes; Syngnathidae.
AUUUUCUCAAACACAUUACACACACAAGUCAAAUCAGCGCUGUUAUUUUCCGUUUUUUCGACUGUUUUCCGUACCUUGGGAGACAUUAUGCUUUGUGGGUGUGUUGUCGGAGGGUGUAACAACACGAACGGGGACGGAUUCAAGUUGACUUACGUGAAGUGUGCUAAUCAGACAUAUCAAUGGUUACGGCAUGCUAAUCGAUGCUAACAUGCUAUUUAGGCUAGCUGUAUGUACAUAUUGCAUCAUUAUGUCUCAUUUGUAGCUAUAUUUGCAUCCAGCCUUUCCCUCCACCCACAUUUCAUGACAAACAAACAAACACCAAUCGAAGGAUUCAAGUUGCACCAGUGGUUAAAGGGGAACAUUAUCACCAGACCUAUGUAAGCGUCAAUAUAUACCUUGAUGUUGCAGAAAAAGACCAUAUAUUUUUUUAACCGAUUUGCGAACUCUAAAUGGGUGAAUUUUGGCGAAUUAAACGCUCUUAGAUCGAUGACGUCAGAACGUAACGCCACCUAGGUAAUAAAGCCGCCAUUUUCUCAAACACAUUACAAACACAGCAUCUCAGCUCUGUUAUUUUCCGUUUUUUCGACUAUUUUCUGGAACCUUGGAGACAUCAUGCCUCGUCGGUGUGUUGUCGGAGGGUGUAACAACACUGACAGGGAGGGAUUCAAGUUGCACCACUGGCCCAAAGAUGCAAAAGUGGCAAGAAAUUGGACGAAAUUUGUUCAAAAUACGAGGGUGUGGGGAAAGCCAACGAAAUGGUCAGUCGUUUGUUCCGCACACUUUACCGACGAAAUCUAUGCUACUACAGAGAUGGCAAGAUUGUGUGGAUAUCCUGCGACACUCAAAGCAGAUGCAUUUCCAACAAUAAAGUCAAAGAAAUCUGCCGCCAGACCCCCAUUGAAUUUGCCGGAGUGUCUGCACAUUUUACCGGCGGUGCUAAGGCAGACAUGGCACAGAGACGUGUGGAUAACCUGCGACACUCAAAGCAAAUGCAUUUUCAACGAUAAAGUCAACGAAAUCACAAAGAUGGCAGAGUAACUGUCUCUGGUGCCUUGCUGGUGAGCCUGGACCUGCUGUCUCAGCUUACUCUGCACGCGCUCGUCACAGCCUUGCACCAGGUGGUCCCCUCGCUGAUUCAAGCCUGCCAAGCGAUCCUCAAAGCCUGCUAUCUCCUCCAUGAUGGCCUGUGGAGGACAAAGAGACAAAGAAAAAAAAAAGAUGUCAGGCUGGUCAAUGACACAGAAGCUGCUUUGUGGCCUCCUCCAGACUUCGGCUCAUGCUGGGGUCAGGGGUCACCAUCCUGCUGGACAUCUGUAGCAGCCAUCGCUCCGCCUCCUGUAGCUCGUGGUGGUAUACUUCCUGCUCCUUGACCUGGCCCUCGACAUGCUCCACGCGGGCCUAAACGUCACAACAUAACGUGUCACAGAUGACCAUGAGGACAACAGGUACAUGUUUUCUUACCAUGGCCAUAUUACACAGGUCACUGUAGUCUUUUUGCAGUCUAUUCAUUUUGUCUCUGACUGAGGGGUAAUGAACUGAUGCCAACAGAGUGUCACCCUUCUCCAACACUGACCUGAUGGAAGCAUCAUGGGACUGGACCAUCUGUAACAGAGUCUGGGUGGGAGGAAUAAAAAUAUUUGUUAUACCCUCUCUUGUGCAGCUUAUCAUCAGCAUCCUUGAGCGUGAUGCUUAUCUAUCUAUUCUUACACCCGUACACCCGAUUUAAAUAAAGAAAAAAAAAAACCUUGUGCUUGGCGAACUGCGCCCUUCGUUGGUAUAAUUCGGCUUUGGGCUCCAGUGGAGAACUGAGCAAAGAUUUGGUCUCCCCUAGCCACUGGGCCUGAGCCUUGUAGCGGUCCUGGAACUCCUUAGCCAGCAGAAAUGCGCAC